CAAUAGCGUAUAUUAAAGUUGUUGCGGUCAAAAGCGCGUAGUUGGAUUUCUGCCGAGGACGACUGGUCCGCCCUCUGGGUGAGUAUCUGCCUCUUCUUGGAGAACGCAGAUGCACUUGACUGUGUGGUGCGGUAUCCGGGACUUGUAAUUUGAGACAACUUGAUUGUUUCAAGCAGGCGUACGCCUUGAAUGCAUUAGCAUGGAAUAGUAAGAUAGGGCAUCGGUUAUAUUUUGUUGGUUUCGAGAGCUGGGGCAAUGAUUAAUAGAGAUAGUUGGGGGCAUUCGUAAUUAACUGUCAGAGGGGACGAUUCUUGGAUUUAUUAAAGACGGACUACUGCCAAAGCAUUUGCCAAGAAUGCUUUCUUUGAUCAAGAACGAAAGUUAGGGGAUCGAAGACGAUCAGAUACCAU
This 410-nucleotide ribosomal RNA is filed under the name uncultured eukaryote. RNAcentral describes it as "bacterial SSU rRNA". It matches the Rfam family "Eukaryotic small subunit ribosomal RNA", at positions 592 to 1018 of the family's 1831-position model. The record is from RNAcentral.